Molecule: ribosomal RNA, 240 nt
Filed under: uncultured bacterium
Lineage: Bacteria
Description: partial 16S ribosomal RNA
Rfam family: Bacterial small subunit ribosomal RNA
Source: RNAcentral
UAAUAUAUCGGAACGUGCCCAAGAGUGGGGGAUAACGUAGCGAAAGUUACGCUAAUACCGCAUACGAUCUAUGGAUGAAAGCAGGGGACCGCAAGGCCUUGUGCUCCUGGAGCGGCCGAUAUCUGAUUAGCUAGUUGGUGAGGUAAAGGCUCACCAAGGCGACGAUCAGUAGCUGGUCUGAGAGGACGACCAGCCACACUGGAACUGAGACACGGUCCAGACUCCUACGGGAGGCAGCAG